CAAGGAAACCUUAGGAGGAAGUGACAUUGAUCAGAGAGCCAGGUGGAUGAUGGACAGAGUAUGUGGAUGCUGGGGCAAGAGAGGGACUGGGCUGAGGGGAAAACCAGAGCAAAGACCCUGAGAAGAAGUGUGCCUGGCAUGUUCCAGGAACAGCAAGAUGGCCCCAGCGGCUGGGCCACAGGGACCAGGCGAAAGGAGUGGGCAGAGUGUUCAGUUCACGCGAGACCUUUUGGGUUGUGGGGAGAUCACAGCAGGGUAUCCUCAGUGUGAUGGAGACCCAUGGAGAAAACUGGCUUAUAUUUUUUUCUUUUCUUAUAUUUUUUAAUUGGAGGAUAAUUGCUUUACAAUAUUGUGUUGGCCUCUGCUAUACAUCAAUAUGAAGCAGCCACAGGAAUACACCUGUCCCCUCCCUCAUGAACCUCCCUUCCAUCUCCCAAACCAUCCCAC
Molecule: long non-coding RNA, 447 nt
Organism: Cervus elaphus (red deer)
Lineage: Eukaryota; Metazoa; Chordata; Mammalia; Artiodactyla; Cervidae
Exons: 3
Source: RefSeq, a predicted model, not a curated record